UACGGAGGGGGCUAGCGUUGUCCGAAGUUACUGGGCGUAAAGCGCGCGUAGGCGGGUUGGUAAGUCCGCUGUGAAAGCCCGGAGCUUAACUCCGGAGGGUCGGUGGAUACUGCCAGUCUUGAAGGUGCUAGGGGGAGAUGGAAUUACCGGUGUAGCGGUGAAAUGCGUAGAUAUCGGUAGGAACACCAGUGGCGAAGGCGGUUAGCUGGCCUUUAACUGACACUGAGGCGCGAAGGCUAGGGGAGCGAACAGG
RNAcentral lists this ribosomal RNA (253 nucleotides) under uncultured bacterium. RNAcentral's name for it is "partial 16S ribosomal RNA". It matches the Rfam family "Bacterial small subunit ribosomal RNA", at positions 524 to 776 of the family's 1533-position model. The record is from RNAcentral.